ACAAGCGGUGGAGUAUGUGGUUUAAUUCGAUGCAACGCGAAGAACCUUACCUGGUCUUGACAUCCCGGAGACCCUUAGGAAACUAGGGGUGCUUCCAUCUGGAGAAUCUGGAGACAGGUGCUGCAUGGCUGUCGUCAGCUCGUGUCGUGAGAUGUUGGGUUAAGUCCCGCAACGAGCGCAACCCUUGCCUUUAGUUGCCAGCAGUUCGGCUGGGCACUCUAAAGGGACUGCCGGUGUUAAACCGGAGGAAGGUGGGGAUGACGUCAAGUCCUCAUGGCCUUUAUGACCAGGGCUACACACGUACCACAAUGGCCGAUACAAAGGGCAGCGACACUGCGAGGUGAAGCCAAUCCCGUAAAAUCGGUCUCAGUCCGGAUUGGAGUCUGCAACUCGACUCCAUGAAGUUGGAAUCGCUAGUAAUCGUGGAUCAGCAUGCCACGGUGAAUACGUUCCCGGGCCUU
Molecule: ribosomal RNA, 461 nt
Filed under: uncultured Desulfobulbus sp.
Lineage: Bacteria; Pseudomonadati; Thermodesulfobacteriota; Desulfobulbia; Desulfobulbales; Desulfobulbaceae
Description: bacterial SSU rRNA
Rfam family: Bacterial small subunit ribosomal RNA
Source: RNAcentral